Symphalangus syndactylus (siamang) is the source of this 514-nucleotide long non-coding RNA. RefSeq lists it as uncharacterized. The record is from RefSeq and is a predicted model, not a curated record. NCBI's taxonomy places the organism in Eukaryota, Metazoa, Chordata, Mammalia, Primates, Hylobatidae.
CACAAGCGAACUUAGCACUGGCUACACCCUCCUCAAUUCUGGUUGGCGAGAUGCGCUCUUCCAGGAAGUGACGCACAAGUGCCGGCGGAAGGGGAAGUCCAGGAGCAUGGGUGGCUUUUCCCCCUACCGAGGUCCGUGAGGUGUGUACUGUGCUAACCAAGGGGCGGCUCACAACCGUAAUAGACUGCCAUUCCUGAGUCUCUUCUGGCCAUGGGCCCCCGGAGCCGCGAGCGUCGGGCAGGCGCGGUACAGAGCACCAACGACAGCAGCGCCCUCAGCAAGCGUUCCCUGGCCGCGCGCGGCUCCCUCAAUGUGACAGAGGAGGAAAGACUAAGAAUCACUGAAUGACUUACAGAUCAUCAAACAUCUAGCCUACUCAAUUCUUUAUGUCUUGCAAAUGAUACUAUCAUGAAUUAAGGUAUUGCUCAAAGAAGAGGAAUUGGAACCUGUUUUGAGCACCUGCUGGAUUAAUAACUGCUUCUUCCGGGCAAGAUUGCCUACAUGCAGAGUAGCC